GCACAGUGUGAUUGUUAAACCUUGGCGGAGGUCUGUGGGAUUAAUCAUUUGAGAACCCAGAAGAGAGAAAACAUGAAGAUUGUUAACGCGACACACUGGGACAAACACGAAUGUCACAUGUAUGUAGGUAUAUAGAAGUAGAUUUAGCUCAUUAGCGAAAAGGCAGAUUGACUUUGAAAUGUUUUUUUUUUUUUUUACUUAAAAGUCUCUUCUGGUUGGAGUAAAUAAUGGCUCAGAUGCAGUUUCAGGCAAGCUGAAAAGGUGACUCGAAAGAUGACCACGUUGGCACUCCGCUCGUGUCCAUCAAUGCUAAAAGUUGAUGGCAGCAGGCUCGCAGCUAGCGGCGUGAAUUCUUCUCAUUUGCUUCUGGAGUUUAGCUGCUGGUGUCAGCUCGCUGGCAGGUUAAAAAAAAAAAAACUGCUCAUCUUCAAGGUGAGAACGGUUUUUGAAAAGUGCGCCAACAGGAUUAGGCGCUGCUGCGCUGCUCGCACGCCACCGCGCGUAUUCCAGCCAAUGCUGCCACUAGCUAGGAUCCAACAUAGGCACUGUCUCUCCUCAGAACGGCACUUAACCAAUCCAAAUCAGCCCUGCUGCGCGAAUUACACGGAGACUCCAAAGUCACGCAUGUAAUCCUUCGGGAGCAGCAUUUAGCUACACUUAGCACAUUUCCCUGCGACAACCUGUGGCCUGGUCUAACAAGUGUAGCACCAGCGUGCAAAAGAGACACCCCGUUGCUAUGCUCGAUGCAAUGCAAACCCUUGGAUAUGAUCACAUUUGGAAACCUUCCACAGUGGUAGCGUUCAAAGAUUUGCUUUAGGGUUGUGGGUGAGGGUCCAGGGAUAGUCUUAGUGUUAGAGGUGAGGGUGAAGGGGGUCCUAAUUACAUUCAUAGGUUGGGCUCUGGGGGAUAGGCUUCGGUUUCAAGAUGAGGGUAAAGGGGUAAGCCUUACAUUUAUGAUUCGGGACUGGGUUGAUGGGGAGAGUUAAGUGUUUGGGAUUAGAUUAGGAUAACGUAGGGUAGAGUUAAAGGUACAGGGUUAGGGUAAUGGGUUAUUAAGGUUCCAGGCAAGGGUUUGGGUUAAGCGUUUCGUCUAUAAGGAAUGAGGUUGAAAAAAAAAAAUGCGUCCCGUUAAGGCUAGCGUACAUCUAAAUCGAUGCCACGUCAUCCCCAUCAGGCGUGUUAAUUGUCUACGUUACAUUCAAUUCAAGGAAGGGGCGAGGGAGGGAGUGGAUGCAGCUUCUGCUGCCGUUCCUGCGGUAGGUAGUUGGCGGGAAUGUACCACGGGCCGUAUAGCACAGUGCUUACAUCGUAUGAGACUCGUUACAUUUCUCAAUAUUUAGAAUUAUAUAGAUCGACAUCAAUAACGACAACGACGACAACACAAGAGUAACGCAAACGCGUUGAAAAACGGCAUGAUGUAUUGCUCUGGAAAAAGAAAAAAAAAACAACCCCACAUUUAUCCUAGCGCGUGAGCGUUUGUGUGCCCUUUAAUGUGUGUAAGACGGUGUAGUGGGCAGCUAAACGGGGU
Long non-coding RNA from Hippocampus comes (tiger tail seahorse), 1528 nucleotides. RefSeq lists it as uncharacterized. The record is from RefSeq and is a predicted model, not a curated record. The transcript has 2 exons. Lineage: Eukaryota; Metazoa; Chordata; Actinopteri; Syngnathiformes; Syngnathidae.